AACGCGAAGAACCUUACCAGCCCUUGACAUCCCGGUCGCGGACACCAGAGAUGGAGUCUUUCAGUUCGGCUGGACCGGAGACAGGUGCUGCAUGGCUGUCGUCAGCUCGUGUCGUGAGAUGUUGGGUUAAGUCCCGCAACGAGCGCAACCCUCGCCCUUAGUUGCCAUCAUUUAGUUGGGCACUCUAAGGGGACUGCCGGUGAUAAGCCGCGAGGAAGGUGGGGAUGACGUCAAGUCCUCAUGGCCCUUACGGGCUGGGCUACACACGUGCUACAAUGGCGGUGACAGUGGGAUGCAAUGGAGUGAUCCUGCGCAAAUCUCAAAAAGCCGUCUCAGUUCGGAUUGUGCUCUGCAACUCGAGCACAUGAAGUUGGAAUCGCUAGUAAUCGCAGAUCAGCACGCUGCGGUGAAUACGUUCCCGGGCCUUGUA
RNAcentral lists this ribosomal RNA (430 nucleotides) under uncultured Alphaproteobacteria bacterium. RNAcentral describes it as "bacterial SSU rRNA". It matches the Rfam family "Bacterial small subunit ribosomal RNA", at positions 958 to 1385 of the family's 1533-position model. Lineage: Bacteria; Pseudomonadati; Pseudomonadota; Alphaproteobacteria. The record is from RNAcentral.